GGCCGGGGCGGGGAGAGGAGAGAGGGAGGGAGGGGACACGGGCGGGGAGAGGAGGAGACGCGGCAGCCGCGGAGCAGUGAGAUGGCGACGGAGGUGGCGGCUCCUCAGCGCCGGCGCCUCGUCCUCUGCCUCAAGCACUGACGCACCCGCCCGGCUCGACCCACAGCUGAGGGAAGCAGCUGUGCCCGGCAGCGACUUGGCGAGAGGUAGGAGAAAGGCAGAGGAGUUUCCAAGUACCGUUUUUGAUCUUAUAAAGCACACAGCUACAUUUGACAGCAUAUAACCAUGGCAUAUAAUGUGGACAGAAAGCUUCCAAAGUUGACCAAAUGAGAAGUUACUCACAUGAAAUAUCCCCAAAUGCAGAAAUUCAAUACAAAGCUGUGUGAUUUACUCAAAAGCCAUAGAAGACAACAUAAAACUAAAGGCAGAAGUAUUGUCAGUGGAAGCAAUGAAGCUUCAUGAAGAACUUAAGCUAUUCAAAAUGAUGAAAAAGUCAAGCAUGUGUGAAUGGAAGCAGAACAAUGACAUCUUUACAGGACAGUUUUCAUUGCUGUUUUGUGAAAAAUGUUAAGGCUCAUUUUUCUGAGCCUUAACAUCUGAGCCUCUGAAAAUGCAAUGUUUUCAGUUGCACCUGAAAUAAAUUCCCUUUAUACAGAUGGAGGUAUAGAAGUUUUGACAUGCAUGUGUGGCUUUUUGCUCACUGACAGAUUGGGCUAGAAUUGAGAAGUCAUGAGAGGAAUUAGUCCAUGGCUGUUCUCAAUAUUGUAAACGUGUUUGUGAAGUAAGUUCAGUAUAAUCAUGCUUGUUAUCUUUUUUGAUUGUGUACAGUUUAAGAGUAAUUCAUUGCAAUCGUGUUGUAAAGUAUGGUGACACGGCAGCAUUUCCCUGAUCAACAUACUGCUGAAUUUUCAUAUUUAGAAAUACUAUUGUCAGGGAUUUAGGAAGCUGGAUUCUAGCCAGAGAACAAAGAAUCACUGAAUCCAACUAUGCAAGGAGAUUCUACACACGCAAGUCAGAGACUGUUAAUUAUCGCUUUUAAUUGCAGGCUCUCAUCUCUGUUUGG
RNAcentral lists this long non-coding RNA (1063 nucleotides) under Anas platyrhynchos (mallard). Its description in RNAcentral is "lncRNA (ENSAPLG00020006337.1)". The record is from RNAcentral. Lineage: Eukaryota; Metazoa; Chordata; Aves; Anseriformes; Anatidae.